This 2095-nucleotide long non-coding RNA is filed under the name Capsicum annuum. Its description in RNAcentral is "long non-coding RNA (CANN_LNC007907)". The record is from RNAcentral. Lineage: Eukaryota; Viridiplantae; Streptophyta; Magnoliopsida; Solanales; Solanaceae.
GGAGAUAUAGUAGCAGCUUAUGAGAAACUUUGUUUUGUGCCUCAUACAACUGAGGCUAGUUGAGUAAGCCUGCUUCUUGUUUCACAAAUUAGUUGACCCAUAUCUUACAUCUUUGGGUCCACCAAUUUGUGAAACAGAAAGAAGAUCACACAACUGUAAUAUCAGAUAAAUAUGGGGAAAAAAAAACUUCAGUUUCCAGGCCCAGAUAACAUUUCCCUGGACUAGGUUUAAGGAAGCAUAUCUGCAUCUUAUGGUCUACUUUUGCCAUCAACUCGAAGAUCAAGUUUGGAAUGAAAGACAGUUUUGACAAGAUGCUUGGUUAGGUAAUAUUUUUUUUUUUUUUUUGAAUUAUUCAAUGGCAGGACCUUCAUAUUUCUAAUCUCAUGCUGAAAUCUGGUAUCAGAUACUGGAAUAGCAACAACUGGUGUUUAUAUUUAGAUUAUAUAUAGUAUAAGAAUAGGAAUUCUUUUGAUUAUGAAGUUUCUGCAAUGGUUCAACAAAUGAGUGAUUUGAAGGAGGAAGUGCCUAACAAUAUAGUAGGGAUUAAGCAGAAAAAGGGCUCUUCUCUGUUAAUCUUGCUACAGGACUCUCAGCAGUGGAAGAGACAACCGUACUUGCUGGCCCUGGAAGAUGCUGUGGAAGUCAAAGCACCCUACAAAAUCAGUUCCUUUUUGUGGCUAGUGGCACUAGAUGCAUGACUGACUCAAGAUGAUCUUCAGAGAUAGGUAUGACAAUUUGCAGCAGGCGUUUUAUGUGUAACAGGGAAGAGAAGAAUAGCAGCCAAGUGCCAGCUCGUCUGUGCGGGGUAUUAUGGAAAGAAAGGAAUGUUUGAUGUUAUGAAUAAAAAACAGAAUCGGUACAGAAGAUAAAGUUAAAAGUUUAUGCCUUUUAGGCUUUUGGUGUAAUCUUCAGGAUGUUUAGAGACGAAAAUAGCAUGCUCAAUCUCUUCAGGAAUAGGUUGUUCGUUCAUAUAGAAAUCUUUCUUUUUUGUUUUUGUACAGAAAGGUUCAGAGCUGUGUAAAAUCCCUGGCACCAUUUUAUUGCCAGGCUACUUUUUUUAAUAAUUAAUACAUUAAUUACCAUACCUAUUCAAACAAAGAGUUAGAAGGAAGAAAAAGAAAGAAAUUUUUCUUGAAUGUUAAGUCUGAGUUGAGGGUUUUCACAUGCAUGAGCAGGUACGGAGAUAAUUAGGGGUAGUUUGAUGUGAGGAUUCGGGAUAAAUAAUCCCGGGAUAAAAUGAAGGACUAUUUUAUCCCAUGUUUGGUGUGAGGUAUUAGUUAAUCCUGGGAUUAUUUAUCCCACCAUUUACAUCAUAGUGAUGGGAUAAGUUAUCCCAUAUACAUGGUGGGAUAACUAAUCCUGGGAUUAAUUAUCCCGAGAUAGCUCUUUCCCAACCAAAAGACCCCUUAGUGAUAAAGACUGACUUGAAGUUUCUUCGACAUAAUCAUUUGACAGAAUUUAAGACAUACCUUCCUGGAAGUGGCUGAGGACUGUUAACUUGACCCUUAGAAUUUGCAAAUCUUUUUGCUCUAUUUUCCUGUUCCUUCUGAACACGCAUGGCAGAAACCUCCUUCUCCAUUGCAGCGACUUCCCUUCUCAUCUUUUUGGCCUCAACUUCCAUGGCUUUUGUUAAAGUAUCCACUUUCUUUGCUAACAUCUGAACCACAAGAAUACUAUCAAGCUUAGUAGAAAAUCAGAGUGAGUUGAGGUAGUCAUGAUACCAAUCAGCAAUCAAACUAACCUCAAUAGCAUCGUCCUUGUCGUUAAGACUUUGAUCCUUCUCAUGACCAGCUUUCCUUAAAGCAAUUACUUCUUUUUGCAGCAAAUCAUAUAAUACUCCAGGCACAGUAUCUUCGGUUCUUGUCAUUUGUGAGUCAUCAUGUUUUUCAUCUAGAUUCUCUUUCCAUGAAUUGUUCUCAGUCUCAUUAUCUUUAGUCCCAUCACAGGACUUGCUGCUGUUGAAAUUUGGACCUGUUCCAUUCAGAAGCUUUUUGCUCCUGUCCACUGAUCUUGAACCACCGUCAAAAGACUUGGAUGUCCCUUUUGCAUGCUUCAACACUGUACUGGCCCCAGAAGAUCUCAGCUGAAAUGAUGG